AAGUCGUAACAAGGUUUCCGUAGGUGAACCUGCGGAAGGAUCAUUAUCGAUUCAACCCAAAUGCAAGGGGGGAGUUGCUUGCAGCUGUGCUGGUCUUUCAAACGGAAGGCAUGUGCACGCUCGACGGCUCUUUCUCUUCAUUUACACACCUGUGCACUUGUUGUAGGGUGUCCCGCCAGGGAUGCUCUAUGUCUUUUCAUAUACUCCUUUGUAUGUCAAUAGAAUGUAUAUUUUUGCUCUCGUCAGAGACAAAAAGAAAGCUAUUAUAACUUUCAGCAACGGAUCUCUUGGCUCUC
This 296-nucleotide unclassified non-coding RNA is filed under the name air metagenome. RNAcentral describes it as "partial contains small subunit ribosomal RNA, internal transcribed spacer 1, and 5.8S ribosomal RNA". The stretch from base 1 to 46 matches the Rfam family "Eukaryotic small subunit ribosomal RNA", at positions 1786 to 1831 of the family's 1831-position model. The record is from RNAcentral.